This 250-nucleotide ribosomal RNA is filed under the name uncultured bacterium. RNAcentral describes it as "partial 16S ribosomal RNA". It matches the Rfam family "Bacterial small subunit ribosomal RNA", at positions 355 to 601 of the family's 1533-position model. The record is from RNAcentral.
UCGAGAAUCUUCGGCAAUGAGCGCAAGCUUGACCGAGCGACGCCGCGUGCGGGAUGAAGGCCUUCGGGUUGUAAACCGCUGUCGUAGGGGAGCAAGAGAUGAGGGUACUCCCUCAAAUUUGAGCGAUCCUAGGAGGAAGGACGGGCUAAGUUCGUGCCAGCAGCCGCGGUAAGACGAACCGUCCAAACGUUAUUCGGUAUCACUGGGCUUAAAGAGUUCGUAGGCGGCUCCGUAGGUGAGGUGUGAAAUC